RNAcentral lists this transfer RNA (72 nucleotides) under Bos taurus (domestic cattle). It matches the Rfam family "tRNA". From Rfam's summary of the family: Transfer RNA (tRNA) molecules are approximately 80 nucleotides in length. Their secondary structure includes four short double-helical elements and three loops (D, anti-codon, and T loops). Lineage: Eukaryota; Metazoa; Chordata; Mammalia; Artiodactyla; Bovidae. The record is from Rfam by way of RNAcentral. RNAcentral also lists the same sequence under 5 other names.
UCCCUGGUGGCUCAGAGGGUAAAGCGUCUGCCUGCAAUGCAGGAGACCUGGAUUCGAUCCCUGGGUUGGGAA